RNAcentral lists this long non-coding RNA (1493 nucleotides) under Homo sapiens (human). Its description in RNAcentral is "non-protein coding lnc-POGK-2:1". The record is from RNAcentral. Lineage: Eukaryota; Metazoa; Chordata; Mammalia; Primates; Hominidae.
AUGAGAAAAAAAAAUGCAGUGAUUGGUGCUGGGGUCAGCGGAUUAGAUGCCAUUAAGAGCUGCUUGGAGGAGGGACUCGAGCCUGUAUGUUUUGAAAAAAGCAAUGAGAUUGGAGGACUGUGGAGAUACGAGGAAACACCUGAAAGUGGAAGGCCUGGGAUAUACAAAUCUAUGAUCUUCAACGCUUCAAAGGAGACGACAGCCUUCAGCGACUACCCUUUCCCUGAUCAUUAUCCCAACUAUUUGCACAAUUCCAAAAUGAUGGAGUAUCUCAGGAUGUACACCAGGCACUUUCACCUCAUGAAGCACAUCCAGUUUCUGUCAAAGGUGUGCAGAGUGAGGAAGCACCCAGAUUUUUCAUCCUCUGGCCAGUGGGAUGUUGUGGUAGAAACCGAUGGGAAGCAGAAAUCCUAUGUCUUUGAUGGGAUCAUGACUUGCAGUGGCUAUUACAAUUAAAAGUGUUUGCCCUUAAAGGAUUUCCCUGGGAUCGAGAACUUCCAAGGUCCAUAUCUCCACACCUAGGCAUACAAGCAUCUCGACUAUUUUGUGGGGAAGAGAGUGGUUGUGGUCAGCAUUGAGGAUUCUGGAGCAGAUGUGGCUGGCGAGAUCAGUCAUGUUGCUGAACAGGUUUUCCUCAGUACAAGACAAGGUGCAUGGAUAUGGAACCGGGUUUGGGAUAAUGGGAAUCCCCUUGAUAUCACACUCUUCACUCAUUAUAAUAGAAUAAUGGAAAAAAUUUUCCCCACAUUCAUGAUCAACAGAUGGGUAGAAAAUAAAUGAAAUGCAAGGCUUAACCAUGACAAUUAUGGGCUACAGCCUCAACACAGGCUACUGUGAAUGAUGAUCUGCCUAACCACAUAAUUUCUGGAAGAGUCCUGAUGAAACCAGACAUGAGAGAGUUCACCACAACAUCAGCCUUCUUUGAGGAUGGCACUGAAAAGAACAUUGAUGCUGUCAUCUUUGCUACAGGCUACACCUUGUCUUUCCCUUUCUUGGAGGAUGACUCAGCAAUCCUGGACAGCCAGUACUCCGUGUUUAAAUUUAUGUUCCCUCCCCAGCUGGAGAAGCCAACACUAACCUAGCUUCAUUGGCAUUCUCCAGCCAGUGGGAGCCAUCAUUCCCAUUUCAGAACUCCAGAGCCGAUGCGCUGUGCAAGUAUUCGAGGUACUGAAAAAAUUACUCUCCACAAGUGCCAUGAUAGCUGACAUCAACAGGAGGAAAAAGAAAAUGGCAAAAGAGUUUAUAAAAAGCCCAAGAGAUACACAUCAAGUGCCAUGUAUUGACUACAUGGAUGAAAUUGCAUCUGAAUUAGAGUCAAACCCAACCUGUUCUCUCUCCUCCUCUGGGAUACAAGGUUAGCCAAAGAGAUUUUCUAUGGGCCUUGCACCGCAUGUCAAUAUUGCCUACAGGGGCCAGGGAAAUGGACCAGGGCCCAGAAGGCCAUUCUUACUGAAAGAGACCGGAUCCUCAAACCCCUGAGAACACGUGUGGUC